UAGCGGCGGACGGGUGAGUAACGCGUGAGCAAUCUGUCCUUCACAGGGGGAUAACACUUGGAAACAGGUGCUAAUACCGCAUAAGACCACAGAGUCACAUGACAUAGGGGUCAAAGGAGAAAUUCGGUGAAGGGUGAGCUCGCGUCCCAUUAGAUAGUUGGUGAGGUAACGGCCCACCAAGUCAACGAUGGGUAGCCGACCUGAGAGGGUGAUCGGCCACACUGGGACUGAGACACGGCCCAGACUCCUACGGGAGGCAGCAGUGGGAAUAUUGGGCAAUGGGCGCAAGCCUGACCCAGCAACGCCGCGUAGGGAAGAAGGUUUUCGGAUUGUAAACCUCUGUCCUUAGUGAAGAAGGAAGUGACGGUACCUAAGGAGGAAGCCCCGGCUAACUACGUGCCAGCAGCCGCGGCAAUACGUAGGGGGCAAGCGUUGUCCGGAAUGACUGGGCGUAAAGGGCGUGUAGGCGGCUGCUUAAGUCUGAUGUGAAAUACCCAUUUUUAAGGUGGGUCUUGCAUUGGAAACUGAGUAGCUUGAGUGCGGAAGAGGUAAGUGGAAUUCCCGGUGUAGCGGUGAAAUGCGUAGAGAUCGGGAGGAACACCAGUGGCGAAGGCGACUUACUGG
Molecule: ribosomal RNA, 624 nt
Filed under: uncultured bacterium
Lineage: Bacteria
Description: bacterial SSU rRNA
Rfam family: Bacterial small subunit ribosomal RNA
Source: RNAcentral